CCAGAACUAUUAGACAUAUCGAA
Molecule: microRNA, 23 nt
Filed under: Heligmosomoides polygyrus
Lineage: Eukaryota; Metazoa; Nematoda; Chromadorea; Rhabditida; Heligmosomidae
Description: hpo-miR-50-3p
Gene: hpo-miR-50-3p
Source: miRBase by way of RNAcentral